This 497-nucleotide ribosomal RNA is filed under the name uncultured bacterium. Its description in RNAcentral is "partial 16S ribosomal RNA". It matches the Rfam family "Bacterial small subunit ribosomal RNA", at positions 28 to 507 of the family's 1533-position model. The record is from RNAcentral.
GAUGAACGCUGGCGGCGUGCCUAAUACAUGCAAGUCGAGCGAACGGACGAGAAGCUUGCUUCUCUGAUGUUAGCGGCGGACGGGUGAGUAACACGUUCAUAACCUACCUAUAAGACUGGGAUAACUUCGGGAAACCGGAGCUAAUACCGGAUAAUAUUUUGAACCGCAUGGUUCAAAAGUGAAAGACGGUCUUGCUGUCACUUAUAGAUUGAUCCGAGCUGCAUUAGCUAGUUGGUAAUGUAACGGCUUACCAAGGCAACGAUGCAUAGCCGACCUGAAAGGGUGAUCGGACACAUUGCAACAGAGACACGGUGCAGACUCCUACGGGAGGCAGACGUAGGCAAUCUUCCGCAAUGGGCGAAAGCCUGACGGAGCAACACAGCGUUAGUGAUGACGGUCUUAGGAUCGUAAAACUUUGUUAUUUGGGAAGAAAAUAUCUGAAAGUGACUGUGCACAUCUUGACGGUACCUAAUCAGAAAGCCACGGCUAACUACGUG